Small nucleolar RNA from Laticauda laticaudata (blue-ringed sea krait), 83 nucleotides. The record is from Ensembl. Lineage: Eukaryota; Metazoa; Chordata; Lepidosauria; Squamata; Elapidae.
GAUCUAUGAUGAGAUUUUAUAUACAUCUGAUUCUAAAUGUGAUGUAUAUCACCAUUUUAGCUCUAGAAUUACUCUGAGAUCUG